This 483-nucleotide ribosomal RNA is filed under the name Triticum aestivum (bread wheat). RNAcentral's name for it is "partial small subunit ribosomal RNA". The record is from RNAcentral. Lineage: Eukaryota; Viridiplantae; Streptophyta; Magnoliopsida; Poales; Poaceae.
AUGCGGCGUCCCGCACCCUUCCUCGCCAGAACCGGCCGGCCCAAACCCUUCAUCACAACUCCGUCCGCUUCUCUGCCUCCCUCGAGCGAGCAUAGCUGUCGCGGCCACCACUCCUCCACCUUGCCGCGCUGUUGUCGUCAUUGUCGCUUUCCAUGCCGGUCCUCCCAGCCCCGGGCGACCUCGUGUGGGUGCUGCCAUGGACGAGUACACAACUCGAGCUUGCCUCCUCCCCCUCCGUCCCUUGCUCGAACACCGCCGCCGCCAGCCAAGCUCUGCCCCGGCGAGCCUCCUGUUCCUCCUCUUCACUUCCCCGGAGCCACAGGCAUGCUCCUGCUCGAGACGUCGUCGUCGCCUGACAGUGCUCGGAGUCACCAUUGCCAGCGAUGCCGCCGGAUUGCCCUCAACCCCCUCUUUCUUGAUCUCGAUCUACAUAGCCCGGACACGAACUCUGAUGACUUCGAUCUAAAUCAGAGAAGGACAUAA